GGACUACUCGGGUAUCUAAUCCUGUUCGCUCCCCACGCUUUCGCUCCUCAGUGUCAGGUAAGGCCCAGAGAACCGCCUUCGCCACCGGUGUUCCUCCUGAUAUCUGCGCAUUUCACCGCUACACCAGGAAUUCCAUUCUCCCCUACCUACCUCUAGUCUGCCCGUAUCCACUGCAAGCCCAGGGUUAAGCCCUAGGAUUUCACAGCAGACGUAACAAACCACCUACGAGCUCUUUACGCCCAAUAAUUCCGGACAACGCUUGCGCCCUACGUGUUACCGCGGCGGCUGGCAC
RNAcentral lists this ribosomal RNA (292 nucleotides) under uncultured bacterium. Its description in RNAcentral is "partial 16S ribosomal RNA". The record is from RNAcentral.